This is a long non-coding RNA of Cygnus olor (mute swan), 740 nucleotides long. RefSeq lists it as uncharacterized. The transcript has 3 exons. NCBI's taxonomy places the organism in Eukaryota, Metazoa, Chordata, Aves, Anseriformes, Anatidae. The record is from RefSeq and is a predicted model, not a curated record.
UUCAUUUGCCUGUGGUCCAGUUUAAAAGCACGUGAUGACUUCAGAUAUUAAUAGUUGAAGAUUUAGAUGAUGCUUUUACAUCCCUGAGAAAACUGGGACAAGAGAAUGUGAGUAAACAUAAAAAUAUGACAAGAUGCAGCAGAGUUUAUUGAUGAGUACCUGCUCUGCUCUUAAACCCAGGGUGCUACGUCACUGCCCAGAAGUGCAAGUAGAAACGAGGAGAGAACUCUCUGUGAUUAGAGUCUCAGGUUGUGUAAUAAGUCACAGCAAGGGCAUCUAAUCAUCUCUAGAACGUGACAACAUUUGGUUCAGAUUCCCUUAUCAGCGUCACCUUUCCUUCUGCCUCUGCCUCAUCCUUAAAGAAGACCAGGCGGUGGGCCUUGGAGAUCAGUCACACGUCGACCGCUUCUUCAAACACUUCACGUGGGAAACCGUUCAGAGGCAUGAUUGCUGAGCUGCAGACCUGGAAAAUAACUGUCAUCAAGACCUUUACAUCUGUCAGAGGAAUUUCAGCCCACUGAUACCACUUUGCCCCUACAUUUUCUUUUAAACUUUAGCAAGACCUUGGAAUUUUAUGACUUAAAAUUGCUACUGUGGUGCUUUAUUUUGUGAGGAGUUCUAUUUCACACAAGUGUUUUAGCCAAGAAUUUGUUACACACCUUGAAAAUGAAAAAGAUCAUUAUUAUAUUGUGUAUGGUAAUUAAGACGAAGCCAUCUGCUUUAUUUCCUUUGUUCCUGUU